Molecule: transfer RNA, 74 nt
Filed under: Deltaproteobacteria bacterium
Lineage: Bacteria; Pseudomonadati; Myxococcota; Myxococcia
Description: tRNA-Ile
Rfam family: tRNA
About the family: Transfer RNA (tRNA) molecules are approximately 80 nucleotides in length. Their secondary structure includes four short double-helical elements and three loops (D, anti-codon, and T loops).
Source: RNAcentral
CCGACUGUAGCUCAAGAGUAGAGCCGCUGGCUGAUAACCGGCAGAUCGAGGUGCAAGUCCUCGCGGUCGGACCA